UCUGAAUCUGCGAACGGCUCCGCAAACCAGUUGUAAACUAUAGCAAGCAGGCUCGGGGUCGGCCUUCACGGGCUGGCCUCGGGCGAUAUGGAUAACCCUGGUAAUUCUGAGGCUAAUACAUGAACGUAGAACCCGGUUGACUAGGCCUCACGGCUAGGGAUGCUGGGGGAUGUGCGAUUGCAGGCUUGGGUAACUCCGGGAAAGGGCGCACGUCCAGACCGCGCUAUAAAGGAUGGGCUUCUCACGAGGCCUGCCCCAGCGGCUCUUGCUGUGUGCUUCUGACCUAUCAACUAGACGGCAGCGUAAGGGACAUGCUAUGGU
This 321-nucleotide ribosomal RNA is filed under the name Lamproderma ovoideum. RNAcentral's name for it is "SSU rRNA". It matches the Rfam family "Eukaryotic small subunit ribosomal RNA", at positions 80 to 350 of the family's 1831-position model. RNAcentral also lists the same sequence under 1 other name. Lineage: Eukaryota; Evosea; Eumycetozoa; Stemonitida; Stemonitidae. The record is from RNAcentral.